Molecule: non-coding RNA, 124 nt
Filed under: Paenisporosarcina sp. HGH0030
Lineage: Bacteria; Bacillati; Bacillota; Bacilli; Caryophanales; Caryophanaceae
Description: Bacterial small subunit ribosomal RNA
Rfam family: Bacterial small subunit ribosomal RNA
Source: Rfam by way of RNAcentral
AUUAUGGAGAGUUUGAUCCUGGCUCAGGACGAACGCUGGCGGCGUGCCUAAUACAUGCAAGUCGAGCGGAAUGAUGAAGAAGCUUGCUUCUUCUGAUUUUAGCGGCGGACGGGUGAGUAACACG